GGGAGCAAGGAGGAGCUGCAGGCUGUGUUCCGGGUCUUUGACCAGAAUGGUGAUGGGUACAUCACGAUGGACGAACUCAAGCAAGGCUUGUCCCAGAUGGGUGAGACGCUGUCCGAGGAGGAGCUGAAUGACAUGAUCCGUGUGGCUGAUGCAGACCAAGAUGGGAAGGUGAACUAUGAGGAGUUUCUGAGAGUCUUCCUCGAGAAGUGAGAAGUGAGACUGCUGGAUGCAAGCCCCGCCUCCUCAGCUGCCUGACUCUGACAGGCACUCGUGCCUUCUAGCGGGGCUCUGCUUUUGUGGUGGGGUUAAAAAAGAAGUCUGUGUUGGUGUGUGGGAAACUACCUCAUGGAUGAGGAUGACGUUAUUAGAUCUGGAUGCUGGGACAUCCGGAGCUGCUCACUAAGUCUCCUCUCUGCCUGCUGAGACGCUGGUCAAAGGACGGUUUCUUUGGGUUGGUCUUUCCUCUCCCUCUUGCUGUGGAAUGGGUGCUUCCUACCUCCCAGGGCUCUUAUAAUGGUUUAAAUAAAAAGAAUGCAAAUUCUG
This 543-nucleotide long non-coding RNA is filed under the name Rattus norvegicus (Norway rat). RNAcentral describes it as "long non-coding RNA NONRATT013091". Lineage: Eukaryota; Metazoa; Chordata; Mammalia; Rodentia; Muridae. The record is from RNAcentral.